This 497-nucleotide ribosomal RNA is filed under the name uncultured bacterium. Its description in RNAcentral is "partial 16S ribosomal RNA". It matches the Rfam family "Bacterial small subunit ribosomal RNA", at positions 28 to 507 of the family's 1533-position model. The record is from RNAcentral.
GAUGAACGCUGGCGGCGUGCCUAAUACAUGCAAGUCGAGCGAACAGACGAGGAGCUUGCUCCUCUGACGUUAGCGGCGGACGGGUGAGUAACACGUGGAUAACCUACCUAUCAGACUGGGAUAACUUCGGGAAACCGGAGCUAAUACCGGAUAAUAUAUUGGACCGCAUGGUUCAAUAGUGAAAGACGGGUUUGCUGUCACUUAUAGAUGGAUCCGCGCCGCAUUAGCUAGUUGGUAAGGUAACGGCUUACCAAGGCAACGAUGCGUAGCCGACCUGAGAGGGUGAUCGGCCACACUGGAACUGAGACACGGUCCAGACUCCUACGGGAGGCAGCAGUAGGGAAUCUUCCGCAAUGGGCGAAAGCUUGACGGAGCAACGCCGCGUGAGUGAUGAAGGUCUUCGGAUCGUAAAACUCUGUUAUUAGGGAAGAACAAAUGUGUAAGUAACUAUGCACGUCUUGACGGUACCUAAUCAGAAAGCCACGGCUAACUACGUG